AGAGUUUGAUCCUGGCUCAGAACGAACGUUAGCGGCGCGCUUAACACAUGCAAGUCGCAGGAGAAAGGGCUUCGGCCCCGGUAAAGUGGCGCACGGGUGAGUAACACGUGGGUAAUCUUCCCUAGAGCGGGGGAUAACAUUCCGAAAGGAGUGCUAAUACCGCAUAAGACCACGUCCUCGAAAGAGGAUGAGGUUAAAGCAGGCCUCUUCACGAAAGCUUGCACUCUAGGAUGAGCCCGCGGCCCAUCAGCUAGUUGGUAGGGUAAUGGCCUACCAAGGCUAAGACGGGUAGCUGGUCUGAGAGGAUGAUCAGCCACACUGGAACUGAGACACGGUCCAGACUCCUACGGGAGGCAGCAGUGGGGAAUCUUGCGCAAUGGGCGAAAGCCUGACGCAGCGACGCCGCGUGGGUGAUGAAGGCCUUCGGGUUGUAAAGCCCUGUG
RNAcentral lists this ribosomal RNA (443 nucleotides) under uncultured bacterium. RNAcentral describes it as "bacterial SSU rRNA". It matches the Rfam family "Bacterial small subunit ribosomal RNA", at positions 8 to 437 of the family's 1533-position model. The record is from RNAcentral.